This 439-nucleotide ribosomal RNA is filed under the name uncultured bacterium. RNAcentral describes it as "bacterial SSU rRNA". It matches the Rfam family "Bacterial small subunit ribosomal RNA", at positions 380 to 810 of the family's 1533-position model. The record is from RNAcentral.
GGGACGAAGGCGACCGCCGCGUGUGGGAAGAAGGCCUUCGGGUUGUAAACCACUGUCGGGAGUUAGGAAAUGUAAGGGUGCUAAUAGUAUCCUUACUUGACUAAGGCUCCGGAGGAGGCCACGGCUAACUCUGUGCCAGCAGCCGCGGUAAUACAGAGGCGGCAAGCGUUGUUCGGAAUUAUUGGGCGUAAAGAGCACGUAGGCGGCCUUGUAAGUCAGUUGUGAAAGCCUUCUGCUUAACGGAAGAACAGCAGCUGAUACUGCAAGGCUAGAGUGCGGAAGGGGAGAGUGGAACUUCUGGUGGAGCGGUGAAAUGCGUAGAUAUCAGAAGGAACACCGGCGGCGAAGGCGACUCUCUGGUCCGUAACUGACGCUGAGUGUGCGAAAGCUAGGGGAGCAAACGGGAUUAGAUACCCCGGUAGUCCUAGCCGUAAACGAU